Molecule: transfer RNA, 116 nt
Filed under: archaeon
Lineage: Archaea
Description: tRNA-Gln
Rfam family: tRNA
About the family: Transfer RNA (tRNA) molecules are approximately 80 nucleotides in length. Their secondary structure includes four short double-helical elements and three loops (D, anti-codon, and T loops).
Source: RNAcentral
AGCCCCGUAGUCUAGUGGUUAAGGGAGCACAGCCCAUAACUUAUGGUUGUUGGUUCUCGCCAAAAGGAUUGCGCGCUCUGGACGCGCAGACCAGAGUUCGAAUCUCUGCGGGGCUA